GUACAAAUUCAUAAUACACCUUAUAUAAUCUCGGGGAUAUGGCCCGUAAGUCUCUACCUGACGACCAUGAAUUGUCAGACUAUAAGGGGAGAUAUACGAACG
This 102-nucleotide non-coding RNA is filed under the name Pontibacillus litoralis. RNAcentral describes it as "Guanine sequence". It matches the Rfam family "Purine riboswitch aptamer". Rfam says of the family: Riboswitches are metabolite binding domains within certain messenger RNAs that serve as precision sensors for their corresponding targets. Allosteric rearrangement of mRNA structure is mediated by ligand binding, and this results in modulation of gene expression. RNAcentral also lists the same sequence under 1 other name. The record is from RNAcentral. Lineage: Bacteria; Bacillati; Bacillota; Bacilli; Caryophanales; Bacillaceae.